GGGGAAUCUUGGUCAAUGGGCGCAAGCCUGAACCAGCGAUGCCGCGUGAGUGAUGAAGGCCUUCGGGUUGUAAAGCUCUGUGGGGAGGGACGAAAGAAUCGGUUCUAACAGGACCGAAGUUGACGGUACCUCCUUAGCAAGCACCGGCUAACUCUGUGCCAGCAGCCGCGGUAAGACAGAGGGUGCAAACGUUGCUCGGAAUCACUGGGCGUAAAGGGCGUGUAGGCGGGUAGGCAAGUCGGGCGUGAAAUCCCUGAGCUCAACUCAGGAACUGCACUCGAAACUGCUUAUCUUGAGUGCCGGAGAGGAAAGCGGAAUACCUGGUGUAGAGGUGAAAUUCGUAGAUAUCAGGUGGAACACCAGUGGCGAAGGCGGCUUUCUGGACGGUAACUGACGCUGAGACGCGAAAGCGUGGGGAGCAAA
This 423-nucleotide ribosomal RNA is filed under the name uncultured bacterium. RNAcentral's name for it is "bacterial SSU rRNA". It matches the Rfam family "Bacterial small subunit ribosomal RNA", at positions 356 to 772 of the family's 1533-position model. The record is from RNAcentral.